This 693-nucleotide small RNA is filed under the name Pongo abelii (Sumatran orangutan). Its description in RNAcentral is "retained intron". Lineage: Eukaryota; Metazoa; Chordata; Mammalia; Primates; Hominidae. The record is from RNAcentral.
GUCUCUCGGGGCUGGUGGCCUGCGUGGGCGGCCGGGUGGCCGGCAGAGCCGCCAGGGCCCCCGGGCUCAGCAAGAGGCCUAAAUGGCUGCGAAGCAGGCCCCGGGCAGGAGUCGCUCGGGCGCAGGGAGGAAGUGAACCGGCCGGAGGGAGCGCCCGGCUGCUGGCCCCACAGUCCUGACACCUCCGGAACUCCUAAUCCUUUACUUGUCCGGCUGAAAGGUCACCAGCCCCAGUCCCCAGCUGUGCCGCUUGCUGGGCACAGAGCCUCUGGUUACUGCCCCCUGAUACACACAGUGCCCGGGGAUAGAACCCGUGUGCGUGGACCUGGGUGACUGGGAGGCCACCGAGCGGGCGCUGGGCAGCGUGGGCCCCGUGGACCUGCUGGUGAACAACGCCGCUGUCGCCCUGCUGCAGCCCUUCCUGGAGGUCACCAAGGAGGCCUUUGACAGAUCCGUUGAGGUGAACCUGCGUGCGGCCAUCCAGGUGUCACAGGUGAGCUGCCCUGUGGGCUGGACGGGAAUUCUGGUGAGUGAUGCCAGCUCUGCUUCACCGUCUCGCUGCAAUUCCAGAUUGUAGCCAGGGGCUUAAUAGCCCGGGGAGUCCCAGGGGCCAUCGUGAAUGUCUCCAGCCAGGGCUCCAAGCGGGCAGUAACUAACCAUAGCGUCUACUGUGAGUGCCCCAGCUGUGUCCUC